GUUACCCGGUGGGUCGGUGGAAGCACCUUGCAGUUGAUCAACCAAGACGCGCAUUGCCUCCAGUACUCCAUCAUAUUUCGCAAAGAAAGUGCUCACGCUGUGAGAGAAACUCGGAAGCAAGCUUUGUAUCCACUCCCCGUUUUAACAUCGCAGAAAAGCACGCGUUUUCAUCGAUAAAUGUUGCUUCAGUCACUGAUGACGGAGACGUUCCGAGAAAACCACAAGCUAUCCUGGAACCAGAGAUGAGGAAAGAGAGAAGCCGAGUGUACAGAGGAUGGGAUGAAAAGGGGAUCUGCCUCUCUCAAAUGAUCGACUUCACUUCCUCCACUGACACAGACAGCUCUGUGAGAGACGCAGGUGAGGGGGACAGCUGUCAUAAUAAUGUGCCCACAACAGCUGAUUUGACUACCUGAGUAAUUUAAAGCCUGUAAUACACAACCAGACCAUGGUGCACGGUCACAGCACAACCCCAGUACUGUGACAUGCCACAAUGCCAGGCUGUGUACAAGAACUGACCGAUACGGCAGGCUUUUUGCAAGGUGCCGGAACAUCAGGCAAUGUCCUCAACCGCCCUAUUUGGCAUGUCUCCCCUGACAGCGUAAUGUGUCAACCGCAUAGGAAGGAAGUGAAGAGCACCACUCUCAGUGUGCGCAAGGGUCAGCAUCGAACUCGGCUUCCCUCCACUGACGCUAUUUUCGAGCCUUGGCACACGGCGGCCGACUCCCACUGGGCAACCAGAUGAUCAAAGCCCUCUUGCGUUCGAAAGUGCCAAGAGCCACAGUCUGUGCUGCAUUGCCAGCAUUCCGCCAUCCACAAUCUCUGUCACGCCACUGCGGCGUGCGUGCAAUUUAUGCCAGUGGCCAUUCUGACCAUGGCAAUCCAACGUGGUGACAAGGCCUGAUAUCUUUACACUCUUCUUGCAAAAUAAGGCCAUUCGAUACACAUCAUAUCAUAUUCACAGAUCUUGUUCACACUUUUGAAUGUAAAUCGUUAGUAUUUUCAUUCAUUUGCAGCCUCCUAACAAAGGCUGCUCUUGCUCCUUAGCUGUUUUAUUUUAAUUCAUUACAGCCCCAAGGUGACAUCUGGCUCCACUCUCAAUAGAGAUAUUCCCAACAUGGGUGCAGUAGCCUAGUACUCGAGUUAUCCUAAAAGCUUCAUUUAUGGUGCAUUAAAGAUUUAAAUCACAUUUUGGGCUGUAAAAGCGAAGAUGUUUAAGCUGGUAUCAUGAUACAAUGGAUUUGUGCUAAUCCUCCCUCUGGAGGUAUUGAUCUGGAAGGUGAAAUAAGCCUACCCUGUAUCCAGAUUCAGCUCCUCGUUUUGGGUCUGGAGUGGGUGGAAGAAUCAAUAAGGCAGGAGACCCAGGAGUGGAUCAUUUGUGAACAGCAGCAGGUAUCAGCAUGGCCACUGUGACAGCAGGCC
This is a long non-coding RNA of Alosa alosa (allis shad), 1419 nucleotides long. RefSeq lists it as uncharacterized. The record is from RefSeq and is a predicted model, not a curated record. Lineage: Eukaryota; Metazoa; Chordata; Actinopteri; Clupeiformes; Clupeidae. The transcript has 3 exons.